Molecule: long non-coding RNA, 1639 nt
Organism: Carassius auratus (goldfish)
Lineage: Eukaryota; Metazoa; Chordata; Actinopteri; Cypriniformes; Cyprinidae
Source: Ensembl
AUGCCCAGUCUGAUUAAUUCUCGGGAUUCCACCACACACACACUUAAACACCUGACAGGCACUGACAGGCAGCCAGUCUUCUCCACACCCUUUCCUGUUCUCCUGCGCGCUGAAAUGUGUUCAUUCAAUGGCUUGAAUAUCAUGACUUGGCCACAGACAGACAUACGUAUCGGGGAAACUGUUAAAGCAGGAGGUGGAGGUUGGAAAAGAGAAAAGCAGUAUGUGAAUGAUUCAAAGCACUGGAGUGACAGUGGCUGCAAUUUUUUUUUUCUGACUGGGAAAAAUCAAUACGACUUAACAGGCCAGGACAGAAUGACCCACAUCCCGAAAAUGGCCUGGCUUUCACCCACAUUCUGGCCAGUGUAUGUGUGUGUCUGUGUGAAUGCAAAGAGGGAGGGAGGGUGUUAACAUAUGCCCUAUCCUGCCAUACUCUUACCGCCUGAUUUCACAAUGACUGAUUCCAAGUGACGCAAAGAUCAUAAAAGAGCAAAGCUAUCUGUCAGCCUCCAUUAAAAUGGACAAACAGACAUAGACAAAGAGAAACAGCCUCUAACAUUACCUCUGAUUAGCAGGCUCAGGCCUGGACUCACCUGAACGCUGCAUCUGUAGGAGAGGUUGAAACCUUGGAUUUAACUAAUAAGCUUGAGCUUGUUUGAAGGUAUCUUUAGUAUUAGCUAUCUUAUCGCUGAUUAGGCAAACGGAGGUGGAAUCAGGGUGUUGGAAAAGUAACAGCGGUUCUCUUCACAGCAGCUGUGAGGGUUCUCACAUUAAACGUUUGCAUGAAAGGCUACUCAGGGUCACAGAAGAACUCCACUCCUGGGAAUGGGUCAUGUUUUGGGGGCUUGUAACCCUCCACAGGGGUCAGAGAGGGUUUUGCUCAGCCUUGAUAAACAGAAACCUAAGAAAUCUUAAUUAGUCAUGUGUGUUAUUUUUUUAGAUUCCCGAAUGCAAUUUUAUGAAAAUUCUAAGAUCAACAAAAGAGUGACUCAAAGGAAGCUUUAUUGCACUGUUCUGUAUGGAAACAGUUCAUAGGUUGUUGUAUUUAAGUUAUUGUUAAUGGUAGUAAAAAUAAAAGAGUACAGUCUCGUUGUAUUAUGUCUGUCACACAAACACCAGCCAAGGACCUCAGUGUGGUCAGUCAAUAGAGUAGUCUGUCACCACAUACACGCUUUUGAUGAGAGGAAACAACAUUCAGAUCAAUACAACACUCACUGCUCUAUCACUCCAUACAUCCCUCUGACAGCAGAACUGUAAAAAUAAACUACAUUUAUAUAUUAUCUGAAGAAAAUGUGACUGCAGCUCUCCAGUGCAAAACUCCACUGCUAGAGUAUUGAGGGUACUUUUUUAGCACAUUGCAUAGGUGUUUUAAGUGGUUUUUAAUUUGUGUCUGUGUGUGUGGUUGUUCUGGGUGGUUAUCCAUGUUGUUAUACAUUGCUAGUGCAUUUCAAGGGUGUUUUAGGUGGUUGCUUACUGACCCAAGUCAAAAGUGUACAACCAGGAGUAAGUUAACUGGAUAUUAAACAUCCCAUCAUGAUUUCACUUGCUAUUUUUAUCCAGCUUUUUGUGUGGAUUUUAAUUAAUGUAUUAAAUUAUUUUACAAUUAAAAACCAAUGGAACUGACCAUUUUGAUAAUUGUGCU